CCUACGGGUGGCAGCAGUGAGGAAUAUUGGUCAAUGGACGAGAGUCUGAACCAGCCAAGUAGCGUGAAGGAUGACUGCCCUAUGGGUUGUAAACUUCCUUUAUAUGGGAAUAAAAUGUUCCACGUGUGGGAUUUUGUAUGUACCAUAUGAAUAAGGAUCGGCUAACUCCGUGCCAGCAGCCGCGGUAAUACGGAGGAUCCGAGCGUUAUCCGGAUUUAUUGGGUUUAAAGGGAGCGUAGGUGGAUUGUUAAGUCAGUUGUGAAAGUUUGCUGCUCAACCGUAAAAUUGCAGUUGAAACUGGCAGUCUUGAGUACAGGAGAGGUGGGCGGAAGUCGUGGUGUAGCGGUGAAAUGCUUAGAUAUCACGAAGAACACCGAUGGCGAAGGCAGUUCACUGGACUGCAACUGACACUGAGGCUCGAAAGUGUGGGUAUCAAACAGGAUUAGAUACCCUUGUAGUC
RNAcentral lists this ribosomal RNA (460 nucleotides) under uncultured bacterium. RNAcentral's name for it is "partial 16S ribosomal RNA". It matches the Rfam family "Bacterial small subunit ribosomal RNA", at positions 338 to 795 of the family's 1533-position model. The record is from RNAcentral.